RNAcentral lists this long non-coding RNA (1857 nucleotides) under Mus musculus (house mouse). RNAcentral describes it as "long non-coding RNA chr5:121402657-121404514". Lineage: Eukaryota; Metazoa; Chordata; Mammalia; Rodentia; Muridae. The record is from RNAcentral.
GGCUCUUUUUUUUUUUUAAAUAUAUAUGUGUACACUGUAGCUCUCUUCAGACACAUCAGGUGUGUCUGAAGAUCCCAUUACAGAUGGUUGUGAGCCACCAUGUGGUUGCUGGAAUUUGAACUCAGGACCUCUGGAAGAGCACUCAGUGCUCUUAACUGCAAUCUUUCCAACCCCUGUAAUUAACAGCUUUUGUUUACCAGAUGAACUGUCAUCUUGGAGGCUUUAGUGCUGAAUAAGCUCACCAUUUCCAGUCCUGUCUGAGCACUGGCUGGUUCAACUCAGCUGUUCUGACCCAAGCUCCUCUCCAAGCUGACUGACUCAAACUGACUUCCCACUGAACUGCUCUGCUGGGCCUCAGACUAACUCUGGCAACCUGUUCUAGUCAUCUGGCUCCUUGUCAUUCUCUGGCAGAUUCUGUCUUUACCUGGUGCCUAUCUGUAAACCCGUCCCAGUAAAACUGCUCGCGCUCGCUCGCUCGCUCUCUCGCUCUCUCUCUCUGUUUCUCUCUCUCUCUCUCACUCUCGCUCUCUCUUCUUCUUCCCUUCCCUAUCUCCUUCUCCCUCUCCCUGUUCCUCCCCUCUUCUUCUCUUCCUCUCCUCUAUUCUUUCCUGUGCUGUCCUCUUGAGAGUUGGGCAUAUCCUAUCUUCAGUUCAUUCUGUCAGAUCUUUCUCUAAUCUGUCACUUUCACACAUGACUGCAUCAUUCACAACCUUCACCUUCAUUGUGCGGGGUUAAAGGUGUAUGGAUGGCAUGUCUGCAUUCUAGCCAGGUCACACAGACCUAGGUCUUUGGAGGGGAUUCCUUGCCAGAGCCGCCUGUUACUAGAGUAAAUUCCUCUACAGGAGGUGCUAGAGUAGAAAUAGAACCAGACAGCCAGAGGAACAGGGUCUGGAAAGCUCUUUCCUUUGAGAGGUUGGCCCUUUCCAUUUAGUUCAGGUUGACCACAUACUAGUUUGUAGCCAGGGAAGACCUUGCGCUGCUGACAUUCCUGCCUCCACUCCCUGGAUGCUGGAACUGUAGGUGGCUGGCCUCUUGUUCUGGUUUAAAAGGCAGCAGGAAGCACUGAAGGGUUUAUCCAUUCAUCAGACUUGUGUUCUAAGAAAAAGCUCAGAAUAUUGGGUCUAAAUAUUAGAUGUUUUUAUCCCACUUUUGUUGUUAUUAUUGGAUGUGUUCAGGUGUUUUGUCUGCGUGUGUCUGCAUCCCAUGCUUACCUGGUGACUGGAAGUGAGAAGAAGAUGUCAGCGUCUCUGAAGUGAAGGUGUUUGUGAGCGGCCACGUGGUUGCUGGAAAUCAAAUCCCACUCCUGUGGUGAGCAGCCAGUGCUCUUGUGCACCGAGCCAUUCCUCCAGCCCCCUCUGCCUGCUUUUUAAAAGAUGGCAAGGCUGUUAGGCUCAGUUCAAGAGGAUAUAGUCCAUCCAAGUGGGCAAGGCAUGGAAAUGGCUUAAAAUGGGCAAAUGGUGGACUAGGCCACAUGGAGAUAUUCUUUGGUCCUUGUCUGAUCCUCUUCACUCAUCUUCCUGAUUGCUGGAAUGGCAGGCAUGCACCACCAUGCCAGGCUGGCAAUCUGUCUAUCUAUCUAUUUAUUUAUUUAUGGGUUUCAUGGUGUGGCCCUGCCUGGCCUGGAACUUACUAUAUAGACCGGCUGGCUUUCAGAUCACACUGUGGCACAUGUGUAUUCCACACAUAUACAAAUAAAUACAAAAGUAUAAUUUUUUUCUCUUUAAUCCUAGUAUUUGGGAGGUAUAGGUAGAUAGAACUCAGUGGAUUCAAGGCCAGCCUGGUGUACAUAGCAAGUUCCACCUAGCCAAGGUUACCUAGAGACUCUGUCUCAAAAAGAAAAGAAGAUAAACAACCAGG